This 692-nucleotide ribosomal RNA is filed under the name uncultured bacterium. RNAcentral describes it as "bacterial SSU rRNA". It matches the Rfam family "Bacterial small subunit ribosomal RNA", at positions 67 to 793 of the family's 1533-position model. The record is from RNAcentral.
CGAGAAAGUGGAGCAUCCAUGAGUAAAGUGGCGACCGGGUGAGUAACACGUGACUACCUACCCUUGAGUGGGGGAUAACCUCGGGAAACCGAGGCUAAUACCGCAUAAUAUCGAAAGAUCAAAGGAGUAAUCCGCUUUUGGAGGGGGUCGCGGCUGAUUAGCUAGUUGGUAGGGUAAUGGCCUACCAAGGCGAAGAUCGGUAUCCGGCCUGAGAGGGCGCACGGACACACUGGAACUGAAACACGGUCCAGACUCCUACGGGAGGCAGCAGUGGGGAAUUUUGCGCAAUGGGGGAAACCCUGACGCAGCAACGCCGCGUGGAGGAUGAAGCCCUUUGGGGUGUAAACUCCUUUCGACCGGGAAAAUUAUGAUGGUACCGGUGGAAGAAGCACCGGCUAACUCCGUGCCAGCAGCCGCGGUAAUACGAGGGGGGCAAGCGUUGUUCGGAUUUAUUGGGCGUAAAGGGUGCGUAGGCGGUUUGGCAAGUCUUGUGUGAAAUCUAUGGGCUCAACCCAUAGUCUGCACAAGAAACCGCCGGGCUUGAGUAUGGGAGAGGUGAGUGGAAUUUCCGGUGUAGCGGUGAAAUGCGUAGAUAUCGGAAGGAACACCUGUGGCGAAAGCGGCUCACUGGACCAUAACUGACGCUGAUGCACGAAAGCUAGGGGAGCAAACAGGAUUAGAUACCCUGGUAG